Molecule: long non-coding RNA, 1168 nt
Filed under: Androctonus crassicauda
Lineage: Eukaryota; Metazoa; Arthropoda; Arachnida; Scorpiones; Buthidae
Source: RNAcentral
ACCAAGUUGUGAGUUUGGGGGUUCAGAGACAAGAGGAUGGAAACGUUUUGAAGUUGGAUGGCUCCAUUACUCAAUUGGCUCUCAAAUGUAACCAAAUGAGCGAUACUUUACCCAAUCUGAAAUGUUGGUCAAUAACUUGAAGUGGGGGGAAAAAAAAUAAGUUCAGGAAAAUGGCAGAAGAAAAUAAUUAAGUUACUUUUUGCUUUUGUUGUUGAUUGGUUUCUUGUUGAUUUUGGUUUUUGGUUUUAGUGCAGGUGGGUGGGUGGUGUGUGUGUGUGUGUGUGUGUGUGUGUGUGUGUGUGUGUGUGUGUGUUCCACUCAAAAAACAAACACUCAAAAAGUGAAGAAAAUACAAAGAUUUUAAGAACAUAGAUUUACCUACUACUGGAUACAGCUUCUGCUACAUCCUCUGGGGAAGGCACUGAUUUCUGGUUUGGAGAGCGUUUGCUCACUGGUUUGCUCUCCCAUCAAAGAGGCCUCAAAGAGUGGUUGGUCUCUUAGAGCAAUCAUGGAUCUUAUUGGGAGAGGUUGGAAAGUAUUUCCUAAUGAAUUGGGCUUAUCUCCUCACAAAGGAAGGGAAGAGUUUAUGAGAAAUUGUUGAAGACGAUGGCUAACAAUCUGUGAAGAUUUUGUUCUGUAUUUUCUUGGUUUGGGGUUUUGAUUUCUUACUUUAUACAAUCUUUACGGAUGGAAAUCUUACUGGCAGAAAAGACUUGGUCUUUUUGCUCUUUCAUCACAGAAUGGAAGAUGGCAAACUCACGUAGACUCUUUGUAGGUUGGCUAUAAAAGGGGUGGUUUGGCUUUUUAAAUAAGACCAUUUUAAAUGUUCCUUUCUAUUUUCAAUCAUAAAAGAUUGUCUUAAUUUAUUAGCGUAGGCCCUGGUUGGCACUUCUCAAGUGGAUGAGCAUUUCCAUUCAAAGCAUGGGUUCACCCAUGUCUUCAAAAGAUGAAUGAUUAAUAUUAAGGAAUUACUUACUUCAAAAUACAGUAGAAGCGUGAGUCUCUGUUCCCACUCCCCACAAAGAUCAUUAAGUCCUAAAUCUGAAAGAGGAAAAAUACUAAGGGAAUUUUUUUCUUGCCUGUUUUUUAUUUCAAUGCUAGUGCUUAAUCCUAUCCUAUACAGAUUUGCUUCUCGCUAUUGUGAUAUUCCGUAAGACUUUCCAGUUAG